RNAcentral lists this ribosomal RNA (2139 nucleotides) under marine metagenome. RNAcentral's name for it is "bacterial LSU rRNA". It matches the Rfam family "Bacterial large subunit ribosomal RNA", at positions 1 to 2095 of the family's 2925-position model. The record is from RNAcentral.
AAAAGCUACUAAGAGCACACGGAGGAUGCCUUGGUACAUGGAGGCGAAGAAGGACGUGGUAAGCUGCGAUAAGCUUCGGGGAGGUGCACACAACUGCUAAUCCGGAGAUUUCCGAAUGGGGCAACCCGUUUUGAGUUAUAUCAAAACACUUUCAUCUGAAUAUAUAGGAUGAAAAGAGCUAACGAGGUGAACUGAUACAUCUAAGUAACCUUAGGAAUAGAAAACAAAAGUGAUUCCCCUAGUAGUGGCGAACGAAAAGGGAAGAGCCCAAACUAAUACUGUGUCAAGUCUGCAAAUUUUGCAGUAUUAGGGUUGUGGGAUUAUUAUUAAUCCAAUUGCAGUUGGAUUGACAAGUCAAAAAAUAAAAUGUUAACAAAAUAAUUUGGAAAGAUUAACCAUAGAAGGUGAUAGUCCUGUAUGUGAAAACAUUUUAUCUUGUCUUAAUAAUUCCCGAGUAGGACGGAACACGUGAAAUUCUGUUUGAAUCUACCAAGACCACUUGGUAAGGCUAAAUACUCCCAUGUAACCGAUAGUGAACUAGUACCGUGAGGGAAAGGUGAAAAGUAAUCCGAGAGGAUAGUGAAAUAGAACCUGAAACUGUGUGUUUACAAGCGGUCAGAGUUCAGCUUGCUGAACGAUGGCGUGCCUUUUGCAUAAUGAGCCAGCGAGUUAGUCGUAUGCUGCUAGGUUAAGUAUUGUUAAAUACGGAGCCGAAGGGAAACCGAGUCUGAACAGGGCGAAUCAGUAUCAUGCGCUAGACCCGAAACCGGGUGAUCUAUCCAUGGACAGGUUGAAAUUUCAGUAACAUGAAAUGGAGGACCGAACCCACUAAAGUUGAAAAUUUAGGGGAUGAUCUGUGGAUCGGAGUGAAAGGCUAAUCAAACUCGGAGAUAUCUGGUUCUCGUCGAAAUGUCUUUAGGGACAGCGUUAAAGUAGUGUACCGGGGGUAGAGCACUGGAUGGACUAGGGGGCCUACAAGCUUACCAAACCCAACUAAACUCCGAAUACCGGAUACAUGAUCUUUAGCAGUGAGGCUAGGGGGGAUAAGCUUCUUAGCCGAGAGGGAAACAACCCAGACCAACAUCUAAGGUCCCAAAAUCUAUACUAAGUGAUUUAAGGAUGUCAAAUCGCCCAGACAGCUAGGAGGUUGGCUUAGAAGCAGCAAUCCUUUAAAGAAAGCGUAAUAGCUCACUAGUCAAGGGGUUUGGCGCCGAUAAUAACCGGGACUGAAAAGUAUAGUACCGAAGAUUUGGAUUUAGUAAUAAAUGGUAGACGAGCGUUCUAUUAACCGUUGAAGGUUGAUCCGUGAGGACAGCUGGAGGAGAUAGAAGUGAGUAUGCUGGCAUGAGUAGCGAUAAACACAGUGAAAUUCUGUGUCACCGAAAACCCAAGGUUUCCUGAGUAAAGCAAAUCUGCUCAGGGUUAGUCGGACCCUAAGCCGAGGCCGAAAGGCGUAGGCGAUGGAAAACGGGCUUAAUAUUCCCGUACCAGUAUAUAUUUGUUUGAACUAUGGGGUAACGGAGAAAUGAAAGAUCAGCCAGGUUUUGAUUGUCCUGGUUUAAGUACGUAGGAAGUUUCAAUAGGUAAAUCCGUUGAAACAAUUCUGAAAUACGAAUAGGAGGGCCUAGCCCACAAACUGAUCCUAAUUAUGCUUCCAAGAAAAACCUCUAUGUUAGAAUAUAAGCUGACCGUACUGUAAACGGACACACGUGGGUGAGGAGAGUAUCCUAAGGUGCUUGAGUGAUUCUAGGUUAAGGAACUAGGCAAAUUGGCCCCGUAACUUCGGGAGAAGGGGUGCCUUUCUUUGAAAGGCCGCAGUGAAAAGGCGCGAGCGACUGUUUAGCAAAAACACAGGUCUCUGCUAAGUCAUAAGACGAAAUAUAGGGACUGACACCUGCCCGGUGCCGGAAGGUUAAAUGGAGAUGUCAAUCUGCUUCGGCGGAUGAAGCUUUGAAAUGAAGCCCCGGUAAACGGCGGCCGUAACUAUAACGGUCCUAAGGUAGCGAAAUUCCUUGUCGGGUAAGUUCCGACCUGCACGAAUGGUGUAACGACUUGCGCACUGUCUCAACCUAGAGCUCAGCGAAAUUGAAGUGUCGGUGAAGAUGCCGGCUACCCGCAGCAGGACGAAAAGACCCCGUG